This 301-nucleotide ribosomal RNA is filed under the name uncultured bacterium. Its description in RNAcentral is "partial 16S ribosomal RNA". It matches the Rfam family "Bacterial small subunit ribosomal RNA", at positions 509 to 809 of the family's 1533-position model. The record is from RNAcentral.
CAGCCGCCGCGGGAAUACGUAGGGCGCAAGCGUUGUCCGGAAUUAUUGGGCGUAAAGAGCUCGUAGGCGGUUUGUCGCGUCUGCUGUGAAAACUCGAGGCUCAACCUCGGGCCUGCAGUGGGUACGGGCAGACUAGAGUGCGGUAGGGGAGACUGGAAUUCCUGGUGUAGCGGUGGAAUGCGCAGAUAUCAGGAGGAACACCGAUGGCGAAGGCAGGUCUCUGGGCCGCAACUGACGCUGAGGAGCGAAAGCAUGGGGAGCGAACAGGAUUAGAUACCCCUGUAGUCCCUGUCUCUUAUAA